RNAcentral lists this ribosomal RNA (216 nucleotides) under Glomeromycotina sp. RNAcentral describes it as "partial small subunit ribosomal RNA". The stretch from base 44 to 216 matches the Rfam family "Eukaryotic small subunit ribosomal RNA", at positions 690 to 864 of the family's 1831-position model. Lineage: Eukaryota; Fungi; Glomeromycota. The record is from RNAcentral.
GGGUCAUUAGGUUGGUCGUGCCACCGGUACGUACUGGUCACACUGAUUCCUCCUUCCUGAAGAACCGUAAUGCCAUUAAUUUGGUGUUGCGGGGAAACAGGACUGUUACUUUGAAAAAAUUAGAGUAUUUAAAGCAAGCUAACGCUUGAAUACAUUAGCAUGGAAUAAUGAAAUAGGACGAUCGAUCCUAUUUUGUUGGUUUCUAGGAUUGACGUA